Molecule: ribosomal RNA, 253 nt
Filed under: uncultured bacterium
Lineage: Bacteria
Description: partial 16S ribosomal RNA
Rfam family: Bacterial small subunit ribosomal RNA
Source: RNAcentral
UACGGGGGGGGCAAGCGUUGUUCGGAAUUACUGGGCGUAAAGGGCGCGUAGGCGGCCUGCUAAGUCGGACGUGAAAUCCCUCGGCUCAACCGAGGAACUGCGUCCGAUACUGGUGGGCUUGAAUCCGGGAGAGGGAUGUGGAAUUCCAGGUGUAGCGGUGAAAUGCGUAGAUAUCUGGAGGAACACCGGUGGCGAAGGCGGCUACCUGGACCGGUUCUGACGCUGAUGCGCGAAAGCGUGGGUAGCAAACAGG